RNAcentral lists this ribosomal RNA (118 nucleotides) under Pteropus alecto (black flying fox). The record is from RNAcentral. Lineage: Eukaryota; Metazoa; Chordata; Mammalia; Chiroptera; Pteropodidae.
GUCUAUGGCCAUGCUACCCUGAACAAGCCCGAUCCCGUCUGACUCGGACGCUAAGCAGGGUCGGGCCUGGUUAGUACUUGGAUGGGAGACCACCUAGGAAGACCAGGUGCUGUAGGUA